This 329-nucleotide ribosomal RNA is filed under the name uncultured eukaryote. RNAcentral describes it as "partial 18S ribosomal RNA". It matches the Rfam family "Eukaryotic small subunit ribosomal RNA", at positions 1470 to 1796 of the family's 1831-position model. The record is from RNAcentral.
CCCUUAGAUGUUCUGGGCCGCACGCGCGCUACACUGAUGCAUUCAACGAGUCUAAAACCUGCUCUGAUAGGGGUGGGUAAUCUUUUGAAUGUGCAUCGUGAUUGGGAUAGAUGAUUGCAAUUUUUCAUCUUCAACGAGGAAUGCCUAGUAAACGCAAGUCAUCAGCUUGCAUUGAUUACGUCCCUGCCCUUUGUGCACACCGCCCGUCGCUCCUACCGAUUGAAUGAUCCGAUGAAUAUCAUGGAUUGAGGAUGUAAGCAGGUUCGCCUGUCUUCAUCUUCGAGAAGUGAAGUAAAUCUUAUCAUUUAGAGGAAGGAGAAGUCGUAACA